RNAcentral lists this ribosomal RNA (206 nucleotides) under uncultured bacterium. RNAcentral's name for it is "partial 16S ribosomal RNA". It matches the Rfam family "Bacterial small subunit ribosomal RNA", at positions 568 to 772 of the family's 1533-position model. The record is from RNAcentral.
CGUGUAGGCGGCCAGGUAGGUCCGUUGUGAAAACCUCGAGGCUCAACCUCGAGACGCCGGCGGAAACCCUUUGGCCAGAGUCCGGAAGAGGAGAGUGGAAUUCCUGGUGUAGCGGUGAAAUGCGCAGAUAUCAGGAAGAACACCCGUGGCGAAGGCGGCUCUCUGGGACGGUACUGACGCUGAGACGCGAAAGCGUGGGGAGAAAC